UCCCAGACUCCUACGGGAGGCAGCAGUGGGGAAUAUUGCACAAUGGGGGGAACCCUGAUGCAGCGACGCCGCGUGGGUGAAGGAGUACUUCGGUACGUAAAGCCCUAUCAGCAGGAAAGAAAUGACGGUACCUGACUAAGAAGCCCCGGCUAACUACGUGCCAGCAGCCGCGGUAAUACGUAGGGGGCAAGCGUUAUCCGGAUUUACUGGGUGUAAAGGGAGCGUAGACGGCAAUGCAAGUCUGGAGUGAAAGGCGGGGGCCCAACCCCCGGACUGCUCUGGAAACUGUAUAGCUGGAGUGCAGGAGAGGUAAGUGGAAUUCCUAGUGUAGCGGUGAAAUGCGUAGAUAUUAGGAGGAACACCAGUGGCGAAGGCGGCUUACUGGACUGUAACUGACGUUGAGGCUCGAAAGCGUGGGGAGCAAACAGGAUUAGAUACCCUAGUAUU
RNAcentral lists this ribosomal RNA (447 nucleotides) under uncultured bacterium. RNAcentral's name for it is "bacterial SSU rRNA". It matches the Rfam family "Bacterial small subunit ribosomal RNA", at positions 329 to 794 of the family's 1533-position model. The record is from RNAcentral.